This 433-nucleotide ribosomal RNA is filed under the name uncultured bacterium. Its description in RNAcentral is "partial 16S ribosomal RNA". It matches the Rfam family "Bacterial small subunit ribosomal RNA", at positions 29 to 507 of the family's 1533-position model. The record is from RNAcentral.
AACGAACGCUGGCGGCAUGCCUAACACAUGCAAGUCGAACGAGACCUUCGGGUCUAGUGGCGCACGGGUGCGUAACGCGUGGGAACCUGCCCUUAGGUUCGGAAUAACUCCCCGAAAGGGGUGCUAAUACCGGAUAAUGUCUUCGGACCAAAGAUUUAUCGCCUUUGGAUGGGCCCGCGUUGGAUUAGCUAGUUGGUAGGGUAAAAGCCUACCAAGGCGACGAUCCAUAGCUGGUCUGAGAGGAUGAUCAGCCACACUGGGACUGAGACACGGCCCAGACUCCUACGGGAGGCAGCAGUGGGGAAUAUUGGACAAUGGGCGAAAGCCUGAUUCAGCAAUGCCGCAUGAGUGAUGAAGGCCUUAGGGUUGUAAAGCUCUUUUACCCGGGAUGAUAAUGACAGUACCGGGAGAAUAAGCUCCGGCUAACUCCGUG